This 595-nucleotide long non-coding RNA is filed under the name Ananas comosus (pineapple). Its description in RNAcentral is "long non-coding RNA (ACOM_LNC043059)". Lineage: Eukaryota; Viridiplantae; Streptophyta; Magnoliopsida; Poales; Bromeliaceae. The record is from RNAcentral.
GAGGAGGAGAAGAAAAAGAGGAGGAGCUUGCUUGAGGGAGCUUGGAGCUUCAACCCUUUCUCUCCUUCCCACCCUUGCAAGGCUUGGAGCUUGCUUGUAGGGCUUGGUGGUGGACCAAUCUUCAACCCUAGAAGAUUUGGAGCUUGUUUGGAGGCAUCUAAAGAGGUUGGUACUUUGAUUCUAACCUUUGACCCUUGUAUUGGUAGGUUUUUACCAUAUGAAACCCUAGAAUGGAAUUUUAGGGUUGAUUUUGGGGCUUUUUGAUCUAGGGCUUUUGAGGCUCAAUAUCUUGGUUUAGGACCUUCCUUUGGAUUGGAUUGGAAGGAUUCUAGCUCUCUUUUGGAGCUUGAGAGGGAUUAUCUACUCCCUAGGUGAGUUUUUGUCCUUUUUCUUGUGGUAGUUAAUGUUUGAGCCUAGAGUUGCUCGUAAUGUUUGUUUAUCUCUUCGCUCAUUACUUUUAGGGUAUUUAGAGACUUGUGGACAACUCCGUUCGAUGAAAUGAGGGACUCCGAAGCGGUUCGGUGGGUUUGACCUAGCCACACAAUGAGAAAAUCUCAUUUGUGAUGAUUUGAGUCUCGUUAAAUGAAAAAGCAUG